This 253-nucleotide ribosomal RNA is filed under the name uncultured bacterium. RNAcentral describes it as "partial 16S ribosomal RNA". It matches the Rfam family "Bacterial small subunit ribosomal RNA", at positions 524 to 776 of the family's 1533-position model. The record is from RNAcentral.
UACAGAGGUCCCAAGCGUUGUUCGGAUUCACUGGGCGUAAAGGGUGCGUAGGUGGUCGGGUAAGUCUGAUGUGAAAUCUCCGGGCCUAACCCGGAAACUGCAUCGGAUACUAUUCGGCUAGAGGGUUGGAGGGGGGACUGGAAUACUUGGUGUAGCAGUGAAAUGCGUAGAUAUCAAGUGGAACACCAGUGGCGAAGGCGAGUCUCUGGACAUUUCCUGAUGCUGAGGCACGAAAGCCAGGGGAGCAAACGGG